RNAcentral lists this long non-coding RNA (334 nucleotides) under Ananas comosus (pineapple). RNAcentral describes it as "long non-coding RNA (ACOM_LNC035640)". Lineage: Eukaryota; Viridiplantae; Streptophyta; Magnoliopsida; Poales; Bromeliaceae. The record is from RNAcentral.
CCUAUACUAUUGACCUAUCUAGGUCCAAUGCACUUUCCACCCUAGGUCCAACUGACUCUAGGUCUAAUGCCUCAAUUUCACAACCUAGGUUUACCUUAACUCUAGGUUUAGUUCUCAACCUAUGUUCUUUAACACUAGGUUAGAUGCCACACACCUAGAUCCCGACUCUAGGUUCAUACUCAACCUAUGUUCUUUAACACUAGGUUAGAUGCCACACACCUAGAUCCCGACUCUAGGUUCAUACUUAACCUAUGUUCUUUAACACUAGGUUAGAUGCCACUCGUUAUGUAUCCUAGGUUCAACAACACUAGGUUCGAUGUCAUCUAUGUCCGAC